Paramuricea clavata is the source of this 395-nucleotide non-coding RNA. NCBI's taxonomy places the organism in Eukaryota, Metazoa, Cnidaria, Anthozoa, Malacalcyonacea, Plexauridae. The record is from the annotation of a GenBank genome assembly.
UGUGAAACGUGACGAUGUUUACAUGAUUACUUUGCUAUUAUGUAGAAUUCUGUAAUAAAAUCUUUGUUUUUAUUUUACAUUCGGUAUAUAUGGAGGCUGACCUUUAUCAGCGAGAUUUCAAGUGCCAAGGAAUAGACGACAAUGAUAUAAAUAGUAAGCGUUCGGCGUUAGGUCAAUAUUAUAAUCGGUUCAUGUUGUAUUUUAAUAUACAUUUCUAAUUUGUUCUAAUUUUGUUCGAUUCUAGAUCAUCGACAAGUAUACGUUGGUGUUCAUAUACCAAUUAAACCGACUCGGGCACGUCGGCAUCAUCGCAGUCAUCAUUAUCCGUCUGCGAGCAAGAAUAAACCCGUGAGAAAGAGCUCAACAAAAAAAACACAAAAUGGAACAGUUGGUAA